AGUUACCAGCAGGUAAUGUUGGGAACUCUAAGGAGACUGCCGGUGACAAACCGGAGGAAGGUGGGGAUGACGUCAAGUCAUCAUGGCCCUUACGCCCUGGGCUACACACGUGCUACAAUGGUCGGUACAGAGGGCAGCCAAGCCGAGAGGUGGAGCUAAUCCCAAAAACCCGAUCGUAGUCCGGAUGGCAGUCUGCAACU
RNAcentral lists this ribosomal RNA (200 nucleotides) under uncultured bacterium. Its description in RNAcentral is "partial 16S ribosomal RNA". It matches the Rfam family "Bacterial small subunit ribosomal RNA", at positions 1113 to 1312 of the family's 1533-position model. The record is from RNAcentral.